AGUGGAUAAUUGUUGAAGCUAAGUGAUAGGUAAAUGGAAGCUCAUUAUUCUACUCUGCAUACUUUUAUUUAUGUUUAAAAUUUUCCAUAAUAAAAAGUAAAAAAAAAAAGACAUAAUAAGGAGAGUAAAAGACAAAACACAAACUGGGAGAUCUUUACAACCCAUAUUACUGGCAAAGGGAUUAAUAUUCAAAUUAUGUAAAGAAUUACUACAAUUUAAUUUUUUAAUAAAGUUCUUCACUACCAUACUCUAAAUAGGCAAUUCAUAAAGGAGGAAGGAAACCUGAAGAGAUGCUCAACCACAAGGAAAUAUCAUUUCAUAUCUAUCACAUAACGAAAAAUUUUAAAGUUUGACAAUAUCACCAGAACAAUUAUACAUUAUGGUUGAAGUAUAAAUUGAUGUAUCAAUUUGGAAAAUAAUUUGAUCUUAUCUAGGAAACCUGAAGAUGCUUUUAUGGCCCAGGAGAAAUGUGUAUCAGGAUAUAUAAGCAAGAAAAUUCCUAACAAUUGCUUAUAACAAUAAAAAUUGGAAAUAAACCAACUGUGUAUCAACAGUAGAGUGGUUAAAUGUAUUGUGUACAGUACUACAACGUAGGGAAAAUGAAUCACAAAUCCAUGGACAUGGAUGAAUCACUAACAAUGUUGUGCAAAAUAACAAUUCAUAAAAGAGGAGUACAGUAGGAUUCCACGUUUACAAAUUAAAGAACCAAUAAAAGUAAACAGUAUUUUGAGUACAAACAUGAAAUAAGUCUAUAAAGUAAAAGAAUGAUAACCAAAAAAUCAAGAUAGUGAUCUUUAGCUGCAGAGGAAGGGAAUGGAUUAGGCAAGGGCAUACAAGGAACAUACAACAUGUGACUAUACAUGUUGGUUUAGUCAGAAUAGUCCUUGUUUGCCUAUUUUCCUAGUGUAAUAACUAAGAGCACCCUCUUUCACUCUCAGAAGGUCCUAGUUUUGAUACUAAAUUAUGUGUUCAUUCUUUUAAAAAUAACUUCCCUUUAACCUGGAUGGAGGGCAUAUGGAUCUUUGUUGUAUCAAUUUUCCCUAUAUCACACAUGUAUUUUAUGAAUUUCAUUUGAAACUAGCCAACAUUUUGUAAUGUAAUUUUAAGUUUAGCCAGUGACAGCAUGGUAAAACAAAAAUCUGUAUGCAGAGUAAAUGUAAGUAGGACUUGAAUGAAUCUGGACAAUGUGGAUGGAGAUAAAUGGCAUACUAUAUGCUUGGCAUUGUGUUAAACCUUUUACAGCUAUUUCUUCAUCUUCACUGCAUGCCUUUUAGGUAAGUAUUAUUAUUUCCAUUUCAUUCAUGAAGAAUCCGAGACACAAAAUGUAUGUGUAACUUAGCCAAAGUCUUACCAUGAUAGAGCAGAAUUUGAACUCAAUCAAUGUGACACAAGACUACAUGCUCUUGCAUGUGCACUCUUGUCCCUGAUUAUUAAUAUAAAAUAUUUCCACCUUUAAAAAAAAAAAAAAAAAAAGACUGCAUGUUCUUAAUCACAAUACCAGAAUCCUUACUAGACAUUCUUAACCUUUUUUUUGUGCCAUGGAUCCCUUUGGCAGUCAUGAAGCAUACAAAGCCCCCUUUCAGAAUUAUGUUUUUAAAUGCAUACGAUAUGCAUAGGAUUAUGAAUGAAAACAAUUAUACUGAAACACAGUAAUCAAAUUAUUCCAAAAAAAAAAACAAAACCUAGCAGAAGGUCAAAUAAUAUAUAUAAUUUUUAAAAUAGUAAACGCUAAUCUUGACAUUUCUACGACUAUAGUCAUGUGAUGGGAAAAGAUCUGAUUUUUAUUGGUGGAAAAGUCACCAGUACUUCUGAUAACACUGGUUUGUGCCCUAUAUUCACAAUUGAAAAAAAUGCUAAAUUUUCCUUAGAGGUUAGCAAAAAUUAAGGUGUAAUUUUUUGGCAUCAAAAUUCAGAGCCCUCUGUUUAAUGACCUUAAUUCAUAGGCUUUCUGACAAAUGUGUUACUUCAGAGGGGUCAUAUUCGCCAUCCUGUCUUUCACUUUCUGGUUUGGGAUUACACUCAAAAUGAGAUACACAAAUAAAUUAGUUUGUUAGAAAUAAAAUCUAUUUCUUCCUGUCAUGAACUUGAGUUAGGGGAUGAGAAACAUGACUAUUAGAAUGACUAGAUAUACACAUAGACAGUGGGAUGCUUGGAACUGCUUUAGAGUGUCUUAUUUGAGAGGUUUAAAACUGGUUCUAAACUUGUACUGCCACAUGCAAUUAUUCAUAAAGGAAUUCAUUAUUGAUAUCACAAUGCCCUAUAGGUAUACUGUUGGUCAAUACCUGUAGCAAUGCAACAAUCCAAAAAAGAAAAUUCAAAUAGCUGGACAUCUUUUAAAAGUUUCAUUAGGCUAAGAGCAAAAUAUCUGACAAGUUUUUGAUUUGCCUUUCUCAUGAUUUGAUGUCCCAGCAGAGCAACUGGGAACCUAAUUCUGACCAACAAGGAGGAAUUGCUUGUCUAAUUGGAAGUGACAGAAACCUUGGGAGAAAACAACCACAUACCAAGGAUAAUUAUAAGAAGGUAACAUGGGCCCUAAAGCAUAAAUGGGCUUUUAAAAAUUCUGUUCAAAGGAAGAUGAUCAAAGAAGGGAAAAGCCCACUUAACAGCAACUGGUGUAAAGUUAGAGCUGACAAGAAAGCAGACUCCCUAAAUGUUAUUUUGUUUCAUUCUCUACAAAGGAAACUUGAGAAGCAGGUUGACAUAGUAGAAAGAACUAUUUGUGUUUAUGGGGUUAAGCAAAUUUGGAUUUAAUUCUGUUUCAGCACUUAGUAGUUAUAUUAUUCUGGAUCUCCCUUUCCCUAUCUGUAAAGUGGAGAUAACUUUAUCUUUCUCAUAUGAUUGUUCUAGUGAUAGAAUUAAUACAUUCAAAACACUGAGCCAGGCUCACAGUAGUGCCUAAAUAAAUAGGAACUUCUUAACAUCCUUCAAAAGAGUAGUAUACAUAGUGACAAGAGAAGUAAUACUCUUCCCAAGUAGAAGAAGGAAUUCUAGAUGUUCCCACUGUGAUGCAGUGGAUUAAGGAUCUAGCAUGGCUGCAGCUGUGGUGUAGGUCACAGAUGUGGCUCAGAUUCAAUCCCUGUCCCUAGAACUUCCAUAUCCCAUGGGUGUG
Molecule: long non-coding RNA, 3109 nt
Filed under: Sus scrofa (pig)
Lineage: Eukaryota; Metazoa; Chordata; Mammalia; Artiodactyla; Suidae
Description: lncRNA (ENSSSCG00050032660.1)
Source: RNAcentral